Molecule: ribosomal RNA, 425 nt
Filed under: uncultured bacterium
Lineage: Bacteria
Description: partial 16S ribosomal RNA
Rfam family: Bacterial small subunit ribosomal RNA
Source: RNAcentral
GUGGGGAAUCUUAGACAAUGGGGGAAACCCUGAUCUAGCCAUGCCGCGUGAGCGAUGAAGGCCUUAGGGUUGUAAAGCUCUUUCAGCUGGGAAGAUAAUGACGGUACCAGCAGAAGAAGCCCCGGCUAACUCCGUGCCAGCAGCCGCGGUAAUACGGAGGGGGCUAGCGUUGUUCGGAAUUACUGGGCGUAAAGCGCACGUAGGCGGAUCAGAAAGUCAGAGGUGAAAUCCCAGGGCUCAACCUUGGAACUGCCUUCAAAACUCCUGGUCUGGAGUUCGAGAGAGGUGAGUGGAAUUCCGAGUGUAGAGGUGAAAUUCGUAGAUAUUCGGAGGAACACCAGUGGCGAAGGCGGCUCACUGGCUCGAUACUGACGCUGAGGUGCGAAAGCGUGGGGAGCAAACAGGAUUAGAAACCCCGGUAGUCC